Molecule: long non-coding RNA, 765 nt
Organism: Saccostrea echinata
Lineage: Eukaryota; Metazoa; Mollusca; Bivalvia; Ostreida; Ostreidae
Exons: 2
Source: RefSeq, a predicted model, not a curated record
UUGUUUCUUUACUCACCACGUUUCAAAGUAGCUGACAACUUGACAGAGAUGCGUCUCCUGUUUGCUGUUUCCCUAGCUGUCUACAUCCUCUGUGUUCUAGGGGACAGGACUCCGUGUCAGCACGAAUGUUACCCCUAUAGAAUAAAAUGUCACAAGGACUGCAGGUUCGAUUACAUGUCCAACUCUUUCAGGAAGAAGUUCAACAGAUGCUCUAAGAAAUGUGAAAAUAUGUUUGCUGAGUGUAGUAACAAAUGUGAAUGUAAAGCCCUAAACAACAGAGAAAGAGAAGGGUGUAGGUACAGUUGUCAGAAUUACCCGUAUUUUAACGAUUGGGACAGAAAAAUGUGCUUAUUGGAGUGUAAAUUCGAUUUCGGUGAAAACUACAGUAAAUGUUGAUUGAUAAACAAUUCGGCUUCUCUUGUUUGCGGACAUAGUGCAAUGAUUCUUAAAUUCUUUUUUGUACAUUUCGAAUAUCUGCAUUCAGUCAUUGUCGUUAAAUGUAAGUGUGCAGAUGUGAUUUAAACAGAGUUGUGAAAAUGUCCAAAUAGGGUGGACGCAAUGCAGUUCAGUAUAUACUUUUGUAAAGAAAUGUUCCUUGUCUUCUUUUUACACAUGUAAUACACAGUGAAAGUCAAAACCCAAAGGAAAAUAUUAGUUAAUGGUGCAUAAUAAAUUGGUUUAUUCCAAUGGGAGAAAUCCAUUAUAGUGUUACGCAUGUAUCAUGCGCAAUAUAUUGAGUUUUUAAUAAAGUUAUAUGUUUUACCA